This is a ribosomal RNA of 437 nucleotides. It matches the Rfam family "Bacterial small subunit ribosomal RNA", at positions 341 to 792 of the family's 1533-position model.
ACGGGAGGCAGCAGUGGGGAAUAUUGGGCAAUGGGGGAAACCCUGACCCAGCAACGCCGCGUGAAGGAAGAAGGCUUUCGGGUUGUAAACUUCUUUUACCAGGGACGAAGGACGUGACGGUACCUGGAGAAAAAGCCACGGCUAACUACGUGCCAGCAGCCGCGGUAAUACGUAGGGAGCGAGCGUUAUCCGGAUUUAUUGGGUGUAAAGGGCGCGUAGGCGGGGAUGCAAGUCAGAUGUGAAAUCCAUGGGCUUAACCCAUGAACUGCAUUUGAAACUGUAUCUCUUGAGUGUCGGAGAGGUAGACGGAAUUCCUAGUGUAGCGGUGAAAUGCGUAGAUAUUAGGAGGAACACCAGUGGCGAAGGCGGUCUACUGGACGAUAACUGACGCUGAGGCGCGAAAGCGUGGGGAGCAAACAGGAUUAGAUACCCUGGUA